This 460-nucleotide ribosomal RNA is filed under the name uncultured bacterium. Its description in RNAcentral is "partial 16S ribosomal RNA". It matches the Rfam family "Bacterial small subunit ribosomal RNA", at positions 338 to 795 of the family's 1533-position model. The record is from RNAcentral.
CCUACGGGUGGCAGCAGUGAGGAAUAUUGGUCAAUGGACGAGAGUCUGAACCAGCCAAGUAGCGUGAAGGAUGACUGCCCUAUGGGUUGUAAACUUCUUUUAUAUGGGAAUAAAAUGUUCCACGUGUGGGAUUUUGUAUGUACCAUAUGAAUAAGGAUCGGCUAACUCCGUGCCAGCAGCCGCGGUAAUAAGGAGGAUCCGAGCGUUAUCCGGAUUUAUUGGGUUUAAAGGGAGCGUAGGUGGAUGGUUAAGUCAGUUGUGAAAGUUUGCGGCUCAACCGUAAAAUUGCAGUUGAAACUGGCAGUCUUGAGUACAGUAGAGGUGGGCGGAAUUCGUGGUGUAGCGGUGAAAUGCUUAGAUAUCACGAAGAACUCCGAUUGCGAAGGCAGUUCACUGGACUGCAACUGACACUGAGGCUCGAAAGUGUGGGUAUCAAACAGGACUAGAUACCCUAGUAGUC